RNAcentral lists this small RNA (787 nucleotides) under Pan troglodytes (chimpanzee). RNAcentral describes it as "processed transcript". Lineage: Eukaryota; Metazoa; Chordata; Mammalia; Primates; Hominidae. The record is from RNAcentral.
GAAGAGCGGAGCGUGUGAGCAGUACUGCGGCCUCCUCUCCUAACCUCGCUCUCGCGGCCUACCUUUACCCGCCCGCCUGCUCGGCGCCCAGAACACCUUCCACCAUGACCACCUCAGCAAGUUCCCACUUAAAUAAAGGCAUCAAGCAGGUGUACAUGUCCCUGCCUCAGGGUGAGAAAGUCCAGGCCAUGUAUAUCUGGAUCGAUGGUACUGGAGAAGGCCUGCGCUGCAAGACCCGGACUCUGGACAGUGAGCCCAAGUGUGUGGAAGAGUUGCCUGAGUGGAAUUUCGAUGGCUCUAGUACUUUACAGUCUGAGGGUUCCAACAGUGACAUGUAUCUCGUGCCUGCUGCCAUGUUUCGGGACCCCUUCCGUAAGGACCCUAACAAGCUGGUGUUAUGUGAAGUUUUCAAGUACAAUCGAAGGCCUGCAGGUGUGUAUAGCACAGCUAUGGAUGCCCCUCCUCAAUCUGUGAAUGCUGUGAAGGGGAGGGAGAAGACAUUCUGAAAUCAGCAUUGGGAAGACUAGGCAAUUUCAGCACUAUUUUAAGAAUCUGAGUGAUUCUUUUCCCUGAACUUCUGCUUUGAGGAAGAGAUAAUAUGGCCCAUCUUUCUAUGGUCUUCUCUGUUGGUUGCAUAAAAUAGCAUUGGAUUUGUCCAGAUCUGUUUGCCAGUCUUGGAGUCCCCAGUAACAGCCUUCCUGCCUGGAAUGUAGGCCAGGACAAAUGUAAACCAAUGGACAAAUGUUUCUCAAAAAUUAUAGAAUGGCUCCAAGUGCCUGAGAAAUGA